RNAcentral lists this non-coding RNA (145 nucleotides) under uncultured Phocaeicola sp. The record is from RNAcentral. Lineage: Bacteria; Pseudomonadati; Bacteroidota; Bacteroidia; Bacteroidales; Bacteroidaceae.
CACCGUGAGUUGGAAUCUGAAGGAAGCCGGCGGCAAACAUCUGGCCUGACGUACAGAAACUUGAUAUAAGGCUACGUGAGUUCGGGCUAAGCUAAUAAGUAAAUAAUAGAAAUAAAAAUAGGUAAUCACAGAAAUAUUUUGUAAA